CAGCCGCCGCGGGAAUACGAAGGGGGCGAGCGUUAAUCGGAAUUACUGGGCGUAAAGCGUGCGCAGGCGGUUUCUUAAGUCUGAUGUGAAAGCCCCCGGCUCAACCCCGGAACUGCCUUUGAAACCAGAUAGCUUGAAUCUUGGAGAGGCGAGUGGAAUUCCGAGUGUAGAGGUGAAAUUCGUAGAUAUUCGGAAGAACACCAGUGGCGAAGGCGACUCGCUGGACAAGUAUUGACGCUGAGGUGCGAAAGCGUGGGGAGCAAACAGGAUUAGAUACCCCGGUAGUCCCUGUCUCUUAUAC
RNAcentral lists this ribosomal RNA (301 nucleotides) under uncultured bacterium. RNAcentral describes it as "partial 16S ribosomal RNA". It matches the Rfam family "Bacterial small subunit ribosomal RNA", at positions 509 to 807 of the family's 1533-position model. The record is from RNAcentral.